GCUUUUGUGGUGUAGUGAUCAGCACCCUCAGCUAGUAUUCGAGAGGUCCGUGGUUCGAAUCUCGGCGAGGGCA
Molecule: transfer RNA, 73 nt
Filed under: Stegodyphus mimosarum
Lineage: Eukaryota; Metazoa; Arthropoda; Arachnida; Araneae; Eresidae
Rfam family: tRNA
About the family: Transfer RNA (tRNA) molecules are approximately 80 nucleotides in length. Their secondary structure includes four short double-helical elements and three loops (D, anti-codon, and T loops).
Source: Rfam by way of RNAcentral